Molecule: long non-coding RNA, 1599 nt
Organism: Brienomyrus brachyistius
Lineage: Eukaryota; Metazoa; Chordata; Actinopteri; Osteoglossiformes; Mormyridae
Exons: 3
Source: RefSeq, a predicted model, not a curated record
UCACAUAAGAAGUAUUACUAGAACUGCAUUUUAUCAUCUACGGAACAUAGCCAAGCUUCGUAAGAUGCUCUCACUUAAUGAUGCAGAAAAACUAAAACAUGCCUUCGUAAGUUCCAGACUGGAUUACUGUAAUGCCCUCCUAUCGGGUUGCCCGUCUGGAUCCUUGCAUAAACUUCAGAUGGUACAGAAUGCUGCAGCCAGAGUUCUAACAAACACUAAAAAAUUUGAUCAUAUUACACCGGUCUUAUCCUCUCUUCAUUGGCUGCCAGUUAAGUCUCGAAUUGACUAUAAAAUACUGCUAUUAACUUAUAAAGCACUAAAUGGCCUUGCACCAGAAUACCUUAGUAAACUGCUGACCACAUACAACCCUCCACGCUUGCUUCGCUCUCAAGCCAUGGGAUAUCUGUUAGUGCCUAGGGUAGAAAGAGCUACGGCAGGCUGCAGAGCUUUCUCCUACAAAGCUCCUCUGCUGUGGAAUGGUCUUCCACCGGAUGUGCGGGUUUCAGGUUCACUCUCAAUAUUCAAGUCCAGACUAAAAACACACCUGUUUAGUUUAGCGUAUAGGGACACUAGUUCUAGCCCUAGCUAACUCUUCACUCCCAGUCAGACCUGUAGUGUGAGGUGUAGAGCUGGGUGGGGAUCGGUGCCAUUGACUUUGGAUGAACUGGAUUGUCAGUGCUGUCACUCUAGCUUUGCAAUCUCUUGUGGAACUGGAGUGCUGACAUUUCAGGGACUCCCCAUGCCGGCAUUCCCACUUGCCUCUCCCUCCUACUGAUGCUGCCAUAGCCAUAUCUGCCGGAGCUUGCAGAUUGCACUUCAUAUUGUACUCACCUAGCUUUUAGCACUGCCAAUAGCCUCCUCUACUAUGCCUAAUUGUACAUUUUAUUUCCCCUACUCCUCCUGGGGGGUGAUGCCUGGAGACCUCAAUCUAUCAAGAUAUCCAGCACACCCGACCACCACCAGUGACGUCCCUGCAUCCAGCUCGCCGUUCUGAUCUUCCAUACAAGAUUGUAAAAUUAUGACUCUCCUCACUGGAUGGAUCGACUCACCUCCGAAUUAAGUUAACUUUAUGAUGGAUCAGAGAGCAAACAGCUUUCUGGUGGUCGUCUUCUCAGUACACUACAGGAAGUGUGCUUCAGACCCCACAGCCCACAAGGUGAGAGGAGGCUUGAAGGCAAAGAGCAGCCACCCAUAGCAGCAUCCAGGGUUAUGGGUCUUGCUGAAGGACCUGCAGAUGUGGCAAAGCCAGGCUCAAAGCGGAGGCUAAGACCACUGAGGCACACCCCACCCCCAAAAAAGCACUUAACCUGUAUGACCGGAGUUGUGACACUUGCAUGGCAGAAGGAGCGAAGCUGGUCUGAAGGUGUCCAUUGGCUCUAACUUUAGGUGUUAAUGUUAAUGUGGUGUUUUCAUUAUCUCUAAUAUGAAUAUAUUCAUGUAUUUCAAACCCUUUGAAGGGAAAGGAACCUGAUAAGAAUUGUAAUGUUCUUUGCCAGUUAAAUUAUUCAUUAUAAAAUGUAGCUGUCAUGACACUUGAGUAAAUGUGACAAGAGCAUAUGAAGUAUAUACAGGCAUAACGGGACACAUUAAAUGGAUUGU